Xiphophorus couchianus (Monterrey platyfish) is the source of this 269-nucleotide long non-coding RNA. RefSeq lists it as uncharacterized. Lineage: Eukaryota; Metazoa; Chordata; Actinopteri; Cyprinodontiformes; Poeciliidae. The transcript is spliced from 2 exons. The record is from RefSeq and is a predicted model, not a curated record.
GAGGGACCGGAGUCAGGAUCUGGGGACAAGAGGGUGAGAUGUGGCAGAAGACGGAUCGAUGCACAGGAUGGUUCAGCUGGAGAUGACUUAGAGCUGGAGGGAGGCAACAAGUUUCAGGCAGGCAGGAAAUGGCUUUGUGUUGCAGAAGCACUCUUUAAUUGCAAGCAGAUCAGCACAGGAGUGUGCUGCAGAGAAGGGAGGGUAUGCAGUACAAGACUUUGACUAGGACUCAGAGCUCAGAGCUCAGCAUCAACAGAACUUUUCCCCAA